This 253-nucleotide unclassified non-coding RNA is filed under the name uncultured Halomonadaceae bacterium. Its description in RNAcentral is "contains 16S-23S intergenic spacer region". It matches the Rfam family "Bacterial small subunit ribosomal RNA", at positions 524 to 776 of the family's 1533-position model. Lineage: Bacteria; Pseudomonadati; Pseudomonadota; Gammaproteobacteria; Oceanospirillales; Halomonadaceae. The record is from RNAcentral.
UACGGAGGGUGCAAGCGUUAAUAGGAAUUACUGCGCGUAAAGCGCGCGUAGGUGGCUUGAUAAGCCGGUUGUGAAAGCCCCGGGCUCAACCUGGGAACGGCAUGCGGAACUGUCAAGCUAGAGUGCAGGAGAGGAAGGUAGAAUUCCCGGUGUAGCGGUGAAAUGCGUAGAGAUCGGGAGGAAUACCAGUGGCGAAGGAAGCCUUCUGGACUGACACUGACACUGAGGUGCUAAAGCGUGGGUAGCAAACAGG